Molecule: ribosomal RNA, 253 nt
Filed under: uncultured bacterium
Lineage: Bacteria
Description: partial 16S ribosomal RNA
Rfam family: Bacterial small subunit ribosomal RNA
Source: RNAcentral
UACAGAGGGUGCGAGCGUUAAUCGGAGUAACUGGGCGUAAAGGGCACGUAGGCGGUUAUAUUAGUCUGAUGUGAAAGACCUGGGCUUAACCUGGGAUGUGCAUUGGAAACGGUAUGGCUAGAGUAUGGGAGAGGGAAGUGGAAUUUCCGGUGUAGCGGUGAAAUGCGUAGAGAUCGGAAAGAACACUCGUGGCGAAGGCGGCUUUCUGGCCCAAAACUGACGCUGAGGUGCGAAAGCGUGGGGAGCAAACAGG